This 512-nucleotide ribosomal RNA is filed under the name uncultured bacterium. Its description in RNAcentral is "partial 16S ribosomal RNA". It matches the Rfam family "Bacterial small subunit ribosomal RNA", at positions 28 to 507 of the family's 1533-position model. The record is from RNAcentral.
GAUGAACGCUGGCGGCGUGCCUAAUACAUGCAAGUCGAACGAAACUUCUUUAUCACCGAGUGCUUGCACUCACCGAUAAAGAGUUGAGUGGCGAACGGGUGAGUAACACGUGGGCAACCUGCCCAAAAGAGGGGGAUAACACUUGGAAACAGGUGCUAAUACCGCAUAACCAUAGUUACCGCAUGGUAACUAUGUAAAAGGUGGCUAUACUACCGCUUUUGGAUGGGCCCGUGGCGCAUUAGCUAGUUGGUAGGGUAAAGGCUUACCAAGGCAAUGAUGCGUAGCCGAAUUGAGAGGGUGAUCGGCCACAUGGGGACUGAGACACGGCCCAAACUCCUACGGGAGGCAGCAGUAGGGAAUCUUCCACAAUGGGCGAAAGCCUGAUGGAGCAACGCCGCGUGGGUGAAGAAGGUCUUCGGAUCGUAAAACCCUGUUGUUAGAGAAGAAAGUGCGUGAGAGUAACUGUUCACGUUUCGACGGUAUCUAACCAGAAAGCCACGGCUAACUACGUG